This 492-nucleotide ribosomal RNA is filed under the name uncultured bacterium. RNAcentral's name for it is "partial 16S ribosomal RNA". It matches the Rfam family "Bacterial small subunit ribosomal RNA", at positions 29 to 507 of the family's 1533-position model. The record is from RNAcentral.
AGUGAACGCUGGCGGUAGGCCUAACACAUGCAAGUCGAACGGCAGCACAGUAAGAGCUUGCUCUUACGGGUGGCGAGUGGCGGACGGGUGAGGAAUACAUCGGAAUCUACUUUUUCGUGGGGGAUAACGUAGGGAAACUUACGCUAAUACCGCAUACGACCUACGGGUGAAAGCAGGGGAUCUUCGGACCUUGCGCGAUAGAAUGAGCCGAUGCCGGAUUAGCUAGUUGGCGGGGUAAAGGCCCACCAAGGCGACGAUCCGUAGCUGGUCUGAGAGGAUGAUCAGCCACACUGGAACUGAGACACGGUCCAGACUCCUACGGGAGGAAGCAGUGGGGAAUAUUGGACAAUGGGCGCAAGCCUGAUCCAGCCAUGCCGCGUGGGUGAAGAAGGCCUUCGGGUUGUAAAGCCCUUUUGUUGGGAAAGAAAAGCAGCAGGUUAAUACCCCGCUGUUCUGACGGUACCCAAAGAAUAAGCACCGGCUAACUUCGUG